CGAGUUGGCCGCUAGGGUUCCGGUGCAGGUUUGCAUGACUGGUCCGAGAGCAGCCACUGUGCGAGGAGAAAUCUCGCACGGAUGCACGGCGGGACAAAAGCCCGGGAGAC
Molecule: small RNA, 110 nt
Filed under: Agrobacterium tumefaciens str. B6
Lineage: Bacteria; Pseudomonadati; Pseudomonadota; Alphaproteobacteria; Hyphomicrobiales; Rhizobiaceae
Also listed under: 1 other name
Description: ykkC-yxkD
Rfam family: Guanidine-I riboswitch aptamer
About the family: This family represents a conserved RNA structure found upstream of the ykkC and yxkD genes in Bacillus subtilis and related genes in other bacteria. The function of this family is unclear although it has been suggested that it may function to switch on efflux pumps and detoxification systems in response to harmful environmental molecules.
Source: RNAcentral